AUUUUGGUUGAAUUGAAAAGGAAAUACUAAUUAGAAAAGUUGGAUGACUAAAUAUUUUUUAACAGAUGUAGCCUAAAAGAAUAUUUGGUGAUAAUUUAUCUGUUUUCUAAAAAGUGUCAAAUUUAUAGAAAACCUAUUGAUGAGGUGUAAACCUAACAAGAUAAAAGUCUACUUUUACAUAUAUAGUAGGAAUUUAUCUACGAUUCGCAAUUGUUUUAGUUUUCUCUUAAAAUUUAUUAUAUAAUCACUGAUUUUACUUAUUCUAAUCUAUUAAAACAGAAUCCUACUUUUUAUCUACUUAAAAAUGUUGUCACUUAAAUUUGGACAUAUUCACAACUCAUUAGAAAUAAAUAUAUCCCUUAUAAUUAGGUAAUAACUAUGAUUAGGUUAUACAAUAUAUAUAUGGGAAAUUGCCACAAAUACCACUUUUCUUGUACCACAUUUCAUUUAUACCUUAACCAACUUUACCAUUAAAAUUUUAAUAUGUAAAGUACCAUUGUACCCUUAACUAAUCAAACAUAAACCUAGUGUCUUUCUCCCACGAUUUCUUCAAUCUCAGAUCCACUAAUAACAAUCUAUCAAAUUCUCCUCGGUGAUCAAAUCCAGCGAGAUUCAACGAUUCUGACGAGUUCUCCGGCGAGAUUUGACGACGCUGAUGAGUUCUCCGGCGAGAUUUGAUGACGCUGACGUCCGGUGAGAUUUGACGAAGACUUCAACCUCAAACGAAUAGAACAAGACGAUCUCUUACCACUAACGCGUAACAAAGGUGAGAGGAUAACAUAUGGUGAUUUUCGUCACUUUCUGUAAUUUUAGCUUGAUUUCUCAUAAUCGAUCAAUUUCUGGGAAAGAAGACGAAGCUUUUCUCAUGAGGUUUUAAAAAUUUCAAAUUUAUAAAACCUUAUAAAUAUUUAUCGAUGAGGAACAUAGUGUUAUGUAUUUAUCGUUUUUUGAUAUAUCUUGUUGAUCCUUCAAUCUUUAAGUAUUUUUGUGUUGAAUAUAUUUUUACUCCUACUAACUUAUAUUUCUUUCUUCUCCAAAUCUUUGUCCCGCGAUCAAAUUGGGAGUUGCUCCAAACGAAAUCACUGGUGAACUUCGCAAUCUCUGGGAGAACUUGGCGAGAUGUAGACGCGAUCCGGCGAACAGAGGAAGAAGAUUGUCGAAGGUGUCAAGAUAAUUUGAGAAGGAAGCAUCAAAGAAGGUGAUUUUUGUCUUCUACUUUUGUUUUUCUGAAAAUGAUUUGUUUAACUAAUUUCAUGUUGAAAAUUUUCAAACAUGAUCUGUUUAUGUGAUGUUUGACGAAGGUGUCGAUAUUGAAAUUGAAAUUAUACUAUGUGAUAUUUAUAAGCCCUUAUAAAUUUCAUAUUAUAGAAAAGACAUACUAUUUCUAUUAGUUUUGAUGUUUGAAUAUAUAUUGGGAUAUAAUUCAUUGGGAUUUCACUGUUGAUAAAGAAAGAGAAGGUUCAAUUAGUGUUAUUCCUAAAGAUAUAUCCUACAAAGAGUUGAUUAGGGUAGUUCUAGAAGAUUUUACAAUAAAUAACAGUAUAAAGCUUAGCUACGUUUCACCAUCAAAGUCUAUAUUUGGUACAGAAGAUGCUCUUCCAGUUUUUAUUAGGAAUGAUUUCCGAGUGGUAUCCUUUAGGAGCAAACAUAAAUAUAGUGGAAGACUUCUUCAGCUUUGACUAACAAUUUAUGAGAUUAACUCUUUGGUUAUGUUUUAUUUAUAAAGUUUUAUUAUUUACUUUGCCACAGUUACUAGUUCCAUGUUUUUAUGUUGCAAAAAUAUAUGACACAUUCCCUUUCAUUGUGACAAACAAUGAUGUCUUUAAUAAUGCCCUUGAGGUAUUUUAAACGAAUUAUUGGAUUCAUGCAUGUUUUUAUGUUGCAGAUGGAAAGACAUAGAUCACCAUUAAUUGUGUCAGAUAUGAUACAUACACGAGAUGAAGUUUCUAGUACUCAAGACUUCCUCAUUGCUGGAAAUAGCAAAAUCUUUGAGGUAUUUAUUACAAUUUAAGAUUUUAAGGACUUAUAAAAUAAUGAGAAAAAAUAUUCAUUUCAUGUACUUGAGGUUUUAUUACAUUGUUUAUAUUUACAAGGACUUAUAAAAUAAUCGUACAAGCUUAUCAGCUCAAUGCUUUUAUGUUGCAGAUAGAAACACAAAGAUCACCACUAAUUGGGUCAAGUAUGAUAAAACCCCGAGAUGAAGUUUCUAGUACACAAGACUUGCUUAUUCCUCAAAGUAGUAAUAUUAUUGAGCUAAAUUCAUACUCAAAGAAGACUAUGAAUGAUGUGGAGAAUAUGUGUGGUGAUAUGCAUAUCAAGUACCUCAAUUUCUUGAGGUAAUGCAAAGCUACUAGUUGUAGUUUAACUAACAAGGUUUAGUAUGUGUAAUAUAUGAGGUGAAAGGUUAUUAUUUUGGUAGUGUAACAUUAUGUUUUGCUACAUUAUGAGAUUCAUGUCUUUUAUGUCUUAUUUUGUGUAUAAUAUCUGAAGAAGCGGUGGAGAUGGAGCAUAGAUUUGUUGAGCUGCGGAAGCAUAUUUCUUCUUGUCUUACACAUGUUCGUCACUGGCUUUUAAUGUUAAAUGUGUUAUAAGAGUUAUAUUUUGCUCUG
Brassica napus (rape) is the source of this 2609-nucleotide long non-coding RNA. RefSeq lists it as uncharacterized. The transcript has 2 exons. The record is from RefSeq and is a predicted model, not a curated record. Lineage: Eukaryota; Viridiplantae; Streptophyta; Magnoliopsida; Brassicales; Brassicaceae.